GGUUUGGGGUAUUAGUAAGUCGCUCUGGAUAAGAGCGUCUGCUAAAUGACGUAAA
Salmo salar (Atlantic salmon) is the source of this 55-nucleotide non-coding RNA. The record is from Rfam. NCBI's taxonomy places the organism in Eukaryota, Metazoa, Chordata, Actinopteri, Salmoniformes, Salmonidae.